RNAcentral lists this ribosomal RNA (253 nucleotides) under uncultured bacterium. Its description in RNAcentral is "partial 16S ribosomal RNA". It matches the Rfam family "Bacterial small subunit ribosomal RNA", at positions 524 to 776 of the family's 1533-position model. The record is from RNAcentral.
UACGGAGGUGGCUAGCGUUGUUCGGAAUUACUGGGCGUAAAGGGCGCGUAGGCGGCUUUGCAAGUCAGAUGUGAAAGCCCCGGGCUUAACUCGGGAACUGCAUCUGAAACUGCUUAGCUUGAGUCCUGGAGGGGGUAGUGGAAUUCCCAGUGUAGCGGUGAAAUGCGUAGAUAUUGGGAGGAACACCUGCGGCGAAGGCGGCUACCUGGACAGUGACUGACGCUGAGGCGCGAAAGCUAGGGGAGCGAACGGG